This 1107-nucleotide long non-coding RNA is filed under the name Sus scrofa (pig). Its description in RNAcentral is "lncRNA (ENSSSCG00070024701.1)". Lineage: Eukaryota; Metazoa; Chordata; Mammalia; Artiodactyla; Suidae. The record is from RNAcentral.
GUAUAGAAAAAAUACAGCUACAGGAACCACUCUUUGAGGAAAAAUAAUGGAGCAUUUAACUGAUAAUCUAAAUUUGAAUGGUGAUGGAACCAUUUAACAGAACUAGACAUUAGGUGAAAAAAGUUGAUGUUGUGUUUUAAAACACAUUUCUUGCUAAGGCUCACAAUCACGAAUGGAUCAGCUCCUGAAUGAAAAUGUGUUUGCUGUGACAGACAUGUCUCCCCACUCCAGGAGAGGAGCAAUCCUGGCUGAGGUAUGUAUUGAGUGUCUGAUGGGGAGAGGUCUCAUUGUGUUUCUGAGUCUCCUGGAGGGUAAAAUGAUGCCACAGGGGCAAAUGCUCAGUUCUGACCUUUCAAAAAUAAAAUUACUAUGCUUGCAUACUCAUUGUUAGGAAGGCAAAUUAGAUUCAUGCCCCCCCUUUAAUAGAUAGCAUCAGUAUAUAUGCAUAUAAAAAGAAUGUUAUGCCUAGUCCCUUCAAUAAGCCGUAGGUGAUAUUAUUUAAUUUGGCCUGUGAAGUUUCACCUCCUGGUGACAAUCCGAUCUCACGUUGGAGUAGUGCUGGGCUUUGUUUGUUAUCCACUGUUUUCUGUCUUUUCCUGUUACCCUUUUCCCAGUGGACUGUGUGCCUCCCUGUCUCGCCUGUGAGAUUGUUCUUCUCUAAUAAGCCUAGCUGCAGGGAUCAGUGUGUUCUUUUUGGCAUUUCAAAAUGUUAAAAUAGUGAAAUUGUUAAAUGUUACCAAGACGAAACUGCUGCGAAUGAAAUUCUCCAGAAGAACCACUAUGUAUUUGUGGCAUGUUACAGUCCUUUUCCAAAAGAAAACUCUUUGAAUCGGUUUACCUAUAUUCUCACGAAAGAAGCAGCCCCAUUGAUGUUGUUGAUAAGUGUUUAGUAUGCAGUGUCAGCUUAUUAAUUACCAAGGCAAAGCCUGAAAAACUCUUUCAAAACAAUCGUGUGACAUUCUUCUUUGCUUUGACUCUGAAUUAAAAUUAACCACCAGGAAAUUUAGACAGGCUCCUGGGUUGUCUUGCAUAGAAGUACGUGGAAUUCGAAUUGGAAUACUCGGCUGUGUAAGAAUAAACUAUUAUGAAAUGGAACUUAUAAUAGCA